This 76-nucleotide transfer RNA is filed under the name Alphaproteobacteria bacterium. Its description in RNAcentral is "tRNA-Ala". It matches the Rfam family "tRNA". From Rfam's summary of the family: Transfer RNA (tRNA) molecules are approximately 80 nucleotides in length. Their secondary structure includes four short double-helical elements and three loops (D, anti-codon, and T loops). Lineage: Bacteria; Pseudomonadati; Pseudomonadota; Alphaproteobacteria. The record is from RNAcentral. RNAcentral also lists the same sequence under 1 other name.
GGGGCCAUAGCUCAGUUGGGAGAGCGCUUGAAUGGCAUUCAAGAGGUCGCCGGUUCGAUCCCGGCUGGCUCCACCA